Molecule: ribosomal RNA, 481 nt
Filed under: uncultured cyanobacterium
Lineage: Bacteria; Bacillati; Cyanobacteriota
Description: bacterial SSU rRNA
Rfam family: Bacterial small subunit ribosomal RNA
Source: RNAcentral
AGAGUUUGAUCAUGGCUCAGGAUGAACGCUGGCGGUCUGCUUAACACAUGCAAGUCGAACGGAGUAGAAAUACUUAGUGGCGGACGGGUGAGUAACGCGUGAGAAUCUGCCUUCAGGACGGAGACAACAGUUGGAAACGACUGCUAAGCCCCGAUGUACCGAAAGGGAAAAUAUUUAUAGCCUGAAGAUGAGCUCGCGUCCGAUUAGCUAGUUGGCGGAGUAAAAGCCCACCAAGGCGACGAUCGGUAGCUGGUCUGAGAGGACGAUCAGCCACACUGGGACUGAGACACGGCCCAGACUCCUACGGGAGGCAGCAGUGGGGAAUUUUCCGCAAUGGGCGAAAGCCUGACGGAGCAAGACCGCGUGGGGGAAGAAGGCUCUUGGGUUGUAAACCCCUUUUCUCUGGGAAGAAAGUUGUGAAAGCAACCUGACGGUACCAGAGGAAUCAGCAUCGGCUAACUCCGUGCCAGCAGCCGCGGUA